RNAcentral lists this ribosomal RNA (453 nucleotides) under uncultured bacterium. RNAcentral describes it as "bacterial SSU rRNA". It matches the Rfam family "Bacterial small subunit ribosomal RNA", at positions 340 to 786 of the family's 1533-position model. The record is from RNAcentral.
UACGGGAGGCAGCAGUGGGGAAUAUUGCACAAUGGGCGCAAGCCUGAUGCAGCCAUGCCGCGUGUAUGAAAAAGGCCUUCGGGUUGUAAAGUACUUUCAGUCGUGAGGAAGGUGUUAAGGUUAAUAACCUUAGCAAUUGACGUUAGCGACAGAAGAAGCACCGGCUAACUCCGUGCCAGCAGCCGCGGUAAUACGGAGGGUGCGAGCGUUAAUCGGAAUUACUGGGCGUAAAGGGCACGCAGGCGGUUAAUUAAGUUGGAUGUGAAAUCCCCGGGCUUAACCUGGGAAUGGCAUUCAAGACUGGUUAGCUAGAGUCUUGUAGAGGGGGUAGAAUUCCAUGUGUAGCGGUGAAAUGCGUAGAGAUGUGGAGGAAUACCGGUGGCGAAGGCGGCCCCUGGACAAAGACUGACGCUCAUGUGUGAAAGCGUGGGGAGCAAACAGGGAUUAGAUACC